This 335-nucleotide ribosomal RNA is filed under the name uncultured Chloroflexota bacterium. RNAcentral describes it as "bacterial SSU rRNA". It matches the Rfam family "Bacterial small subunit ribosomal RNA", at positions 1034 to 1382 of the family's 1533-position model. Lineage: Bacteria; Bacillati; Chloroflexota. The record is from RNAcentral.
ACAGGUGCUGCAUGGCUGUCGUCAGCUCGUGCCGUGAGGUGUUGGGUUAAGUCCCGCAACGAGCGCAACCCUCGUGCUAUGUUGAUUUCUCACUAGCAGACUGCCUUGUACAGCAAGGAGGAAGGUGGGGAUGACGUCAAGUCAGCAUGGCCUUUAUGCCCUGGGCUACACACAUGCUACAAUGGGUGGGAACAGAGGGUUGCCACGGAGCAAUUCGGAGCUAAUCCCUUAAAACCAUCCUCAGUUCGGAUUGCAGGCUGCAAUCGCCUGCAUGAAGCCGGAGCUGCUAGUAACCGCAGGUCAGCUAUACUGCGGUGAAUACGUUCUCGGGCCUU